GUGCUCAUUUAGCAGCACAGAUGCUAAAAUUGGGAUGAUACAGAGAAGGGUAUUGUAGUCCCUGUGCAAGGAUGACACAAAAAUUCAUGAAGUAUUUCCUAAUUUU
Molecule: small nuclear RNA, 106 nt
Organism: Rattus norvegicus (Norway rat)
Lineage: Eukaryota; Metazoa; Chordata; Mammalia; Rodentia; Muridae
Source: Ensembl